CUACGGGUCGCUGCAGUAGGGAAUUUUGCGCAAUGGGGGAAACCCUGACGCAGCGACGCCGCGUGAGUGAAGAAGGCCUUCGGGUUGUAAAGCUCUGUCAGAAGGGACGAAUAAUUGGGGUCUAAUAGGCCCACAAGAUGACGGUACCUUCAGAGGAAGCACCGGCUAACUCUGUGCCAGCAGCCGCGGUAAUACAGAGGGUGCAAGCGUUAUUCGGAAUUACUGGGCGUAAAGCGCAUGUAGGUGGGAUAUCAAGUCAGGUGUGAAAUCCCGGAGCUCAACUUCGGAAUUGCAUUUGGAACUGAUAUUCUUGAGAUUGGGAGAGGAAAGUGGAAUUCCAGGUGUAGAGGUGAAAUUCGUAGAUAUCUGGAGGAACACCAGAGGCGAAGGCGGCUUUCUGGCCCAAUACUGACACUCAGAUGCGAAAGCGUGGGUAGCAAACAGGAUUAGAUACCCCCGUAGUC
This 464-nucleotide ribosomal RNA is filed under the name uncultured bacterium. RNAcentral describes it as "partial 16S ribosomal RNA". It matches the Rfam family "Bacterial small subunit ribosomal RNA", at positions 339 to 795 of the family's 1533-position model. The record is from RNAcentral.